GACAUCCAGAGAAUUUUAGCAGAGAUGCUUUAGUGCCUUUCGGGAACUCUGAGACAGGUGCUGCAUGGCUGUCGUCAGCUCGUGUUGUGAAAUGUUGGGUUAAGUCCGCAACGAGCGCAACCCUUAUCCUUUGUUGCCAGCACGUAAUGGUGGGAACUCAAAGGAGACUGCCGGUGAUAAACCGGAGGAAGGUGGGGAUGACGUCAAGUCAUCAUGGCCCUUACGAGUAGGGCUACACACGUGCUACAAUGGCGUAUACAAAGAGAAGCGACCUCGCGAGAGCAAGCGGACCUCAUAAAGUGCGUCGUAGUCCGGAUUGGAGUCUGCAACUCGACUCCAUGAAGUCGGAAUCGCUAGUAAUCGUAAAUCAGAAUGUUACGGUGAAUACGUUCCCGGGCCUUGUACACACCGCCCGUCACACCAUGGGAGUGGGUUGCAAAAGAAGUAGAUAGCUUAACCUUCGGGAGGGCGUUUACCACUUUGUGAUUCAUGACUGGGGUGAAGUCGUAACAAGGUAAGCGUAGUGCU
This 528-nucleotide ribosomal RNA is filed under the name uncultured bacterium. Its description in RNAcentral is "bacterial SSU rRNA". It matches the Rfam family "Bacterial small subunit ribosomal RNA", at positions 983 to 1509 of the family's 1533-position model. The record is from RNAcentral.